This 520-nucleotide ribosomal RNA is filed under the name Laccobius sp. SLE0943. RNAcentral describes it as "partial 16S ribosomal RNA". It matches the Rfam family "Bacterial large subunit ribosomal RNA", at positions 1839 to 2619 of the family's 2925-position model. The record is from RNAcentral. Lineage: Eukaryota; Metazoa; Arthropoda; Insecta; Coleoptera; Hydrophilidae.
UUAUAUAUUUAAGGUCUGACCUGCCCAAUGAUUAAUUUAAUGGCCGCAGUAUUUUGACUGUGCAAAGGUAGCAUAAUCAUUAGUUUUUUGAUUGAGAACUUGUAUGAAUGGUUGAAUGAGAAAUAGGCUGUCUCUAAUUAAUUUUUUAGAAUUUUAUUUUUAAGUUAAAAAGCUUAAAUUUUUAUUAAAGACGAGAAGACCCUAUAGAGUUUUAUAUUAUUGUGAUUAAAAAAUUUUAGGAAUCAAGAUUUUUAAAUUAUAAUAUUAUUUAGUUGGGGUGACAGAAAAAUUAAAUAAACUUUUUUUUGCUUUGUACAUUAAUAAGUGGUUAUUUUGAUCCAAAUUUUUUGAUUAUAAGAUUAAAUUACCUUAGGGAUAACAGCGUAAUUCUUUUGAAGAGUUCUAAUUUAUAAAAGAGUUUGCGACCUCGAUGUUGGAUUAAAAUUUAUUACUGGCGCAGUAGCUGUAUAAUUGAGUCUGUUCGACUUUUGAAAUUUUACGUGAUCUGAGUUCAGACCGG